RNAcentral lists this ribosomal RNA (449 nucleotides) under uncultured bacterium. RNAcentral's name for it is "partial 16S ribosomal RNA". It matches the Rfam family "Bacterial small subunit ribosomal RNA", at positions 29 to 523 of the family's 1533-position model. The record is from RNAcentral.
AAUGAACGCUGGCGGCAGGCCUAACACAUGCAAGUCGAACGGAUCCUUCGGGAUUAGUGGCGGACGGGUGAGUAACGCGUGGGAACAUACCCAAAGGUACGGAAUAGCCUCGGGAAACUGGGAGUAAUACCGUAUGUGCUCGAAAGAGGAAAGAUUUAUCGCCUUUGGAUUGGCCCGCGUUGGAUUAGGUAGUUGGUGGGGUAAUGGCCUACCAAACCGACGGUCCAUAGCUGGUUUGAGAGGAUGAUCAGCCACACUGGGACUGAGACACGGCCCAGACUCCUACGGGAGGCAGCAGUGGGGAAUCUUAGACAAUGGGGGAAACCCUGAUCUAGCCAUGCCGCGUGAUCGAUGAAGGCCUUAGGGUUGUAAAGAUCUUUCAGGUGGGAAGAUAAUGACUGUACCACCAGAAGAAGCCCCGGCUAACUCCGUGCCAGCAGCCGCCGUAA